This 45-nucleotide non-coding RNA is filed under the name Schistosoma curassoni. The record is from RNAcentral. Lineage: Eukaryota; Metazoa; Platyhelminthes; Trematoda; Strigeidida; Schistosomatidae.
AUCCACAUGAUAAGUCCCGAAUAGGACGAAAUGCGCGUCCUAGAU